Molecule: non-coding RNA, 1229 nt
Organism: Chiloscyllium plagiosum (whitespotted bambooshark)
Lineage: Eukaryota; Metazoa; Chordata; Chondrichthyes; Orectolobiformes; Hemiscylliidae
Source: RefSeq, a predicted model, not a curated record
AUCACUAUUUCCAAAAUGCUCUCCUACGGAAAGGUCAGGCACCUGGUCAGGCACAUUAGCUAAUACAAGGUCUAGUAUGGCCCUUCCUUGAGUUAGACUAUCCACAUACUGUUUCAAGGAACACUCUUGGAUGCACUUCACAAAUCCUACCCCAUUGAAGCUUCUGGCUUUAAGUGAUUCCCAGUCGGUACUGCGGAAGUUAAAGUCACCCGCUACCACAACCCCGUUGUUAUUGCAUCAAACCUUUGCCUAAAUGUUUGUUCAUCAAUAUCGUCUGGCUGUUGCAGGGCCUAGAGUAUAAUCCUAUCAGAAUGAUUGUGCCCAUCCCUCAGUGGAUGAGCCCUCCAGUGUGUCCUCUUUGAGUGCAGAUGGAACAUUCUCCCUGAUGCAACUUUAGGGUGACAUGCCCAUAAUAGAGUAGCAAUGGGAGUCUGAUCUUGCUUCGAAGACAAACUUAAUGCUGGGGAAGAAUCUGGCUGCUGUUCUUGAAUCUCUGAGAUACCGCGGAACAGGUCCAUCUGCAUUCAUCUAUGCAUCCACUUUGCCAUCAUGGAAAAUGCCCAGUGCCAAAACUAGAACUUUCUCCAGUUAAGCUUUCUCAGGCUAUCGCCUACACGCCAUUGAGACAUUUAAUGUUUGCGUUUGCAAGGAGCAAGCCUGGGUCCACGUUAUAUUUUUUAAAAAAUGCAUUUGAACACAGUCAGAAAAAGGGAACUUGAGCAGGCAAGCCAUGUUUAAUGGUGGACUGAGUGGUGGUGGUUCCUGGAGGGGUGGUUAAUGGCAAUAAUUGUUUUCCUUAUUUAUUGCAUUAAUGGUCUUUUUCUGUUGUGCACUUCCCUUUGAUAAUGUAUUAUCAAUAAAAAUAAUUUUUCAAUAGCUUCUUAAGUAAGCGGCACAAUUGGCCUAGGGUUUACAAAUUUUUUGUAACACCCUAGGAAAAUAUGGAGAAUUUAUUAAGACAGCAGUUGUACUGUAGAGUCAUGGGAAAUGCCACUUAUGCUGCAGAGUCCCUCCAUAAUCAGUAUCAUUGGUUUGAUGACCAUUGUCACCACCUGUGUUAGUGGUGCCAGUACCAAAUACCAUAGUACACUGGUCUGCUGCUCAUGGUUUUUCUCUGUGUUUCUUACAGAGUCUGGGAGAGGGUGGCUGGUUGCAGAGAGUCAAGAUUAGAGUAGUGCUGGAAAAGCACAGCAGGUCAGGCAGCAUCCAAGAAGCAGGAAAAUUGACAU